Molecule: ribosomal RNA, 331 nt
Filed under: uncultured bacterium
Lineage: Bacteria
Description: bacterial SSU rRNA
Rfam family: Bacterial small subunit ribosomal RNA
Source: RNAcentral
GAUGAACGCUAGCGGGAGGCCUAAUACAUGCAAGUCGAGCGGUAGAGUGACUUCGGUUGCUUGAGAGCGGCGAACGGGUGAGUAACGCGUACACAAUCUACCUUUAAGAGGGGAAUAGCCCUGGGAAACUGGGAUUAAUGCCCCAUGGCAUCACGAGACGGCAUCGUUUUGUGAUUAAAGCUGAGGUGCUUAGAGAUGAGUGUGCGUCUGAUUAGCUAGUUGGUGCGGUAACGGCGCACCAAGGCGACGAUCAGUAGGGGGCGUGAGAGCGUGACCCCCACACGGGUACGUGAGACACGGACCCGACUCCUACGGAGGCAGCAGUAAGGAA